RNAcentral lists this ribosomal RNA (450 nucleotides) under uncultured Glomeromycotina. RNAcentral's name for it is "SSU rRNA". It matches the Rfam family "Eukaryotic small subunit ribosomal RNA", at positions 569 to 1023 of the family's 1831-position model. Lineage: Eukaryota; Fungi; Glomeromycota. The record is from RNAcentral.
AGCAGCCGCGGUAAUUCCAGCUCCAAUAGCGUAUAUUAAAGUUGUUGCAGUUAAAAAGCUCGUAGUUGAAUUUCGGGAUCAAUAUGUUGGUCGUGCCUUGGUACGUACUGGCAUUAUCGAUUCCUACCUUCUGAAGAACCUCGAUGUCAUUAAUUUGGUGUCUUGGGGAAUCAGGACUGUUACUUUGAAAAAAAUUAGAGUGUUUAAAGCAGGCUCGCGCUUGAAUACAUUAGCAUGGAAUAAUGAAAUAGGACGUUUGAUUCUAUUUUGUUGGUUUCUAGGAUCGACGUAAUGAUUAAUAGGGAUAGUUGGGGGCAUUAGUAUUCAAUUGUCAGAGGUGAAAUUCUUGGAUUUAUUGAAGACUAACUACUGCGAAAGCAUUUGCCAAGGAUGUUUUCAUUAAUCAAGAACGAAAGUUAGGGGAUCGAAGACGAUCAGAUACCGUCGUAG